UGGGGGAUAUUGCACAAUGGGCGAAAGCCUGAUGCAGCGACGCCGCGUGGGGGAUGAAGGCCUUCGGGUUGUAAACUUCUUUUUCUCUGAACAAUGCAUGCUAAUGGGUGUGUUGAGUGUAGGGGUUGAUUAGCGCCGGCUAACUACGUGCCAGCAGCCGCGGUAAUACGUAGGGCGCGAGCGUUGUCCGGAAUUAUUGGGCGUAAAGGGCUUGUAGGGUGCUGGUUGAGUCUGUCGUGAAAGCUGAUGGCUUAACUGUGGGUUUGCGGUGGGUACGGGCUGGCUUGAGUGCAGUAGAGGAGGCUGGAAUUCCUGGUGUAGCGGUGGAAUGCGCAGAUAUCAGGAGGAAUACCGGUGGCGAAGGCGGGUCUCUGGGCUGUUACUGACACUGAGGAGCGAAAGCAUGGGGAGCGAACAGG
This 419-nucleotide ribosomal RNA is filed under the name bacterium. Its description in RNAcentral is "partial 16S ribosomal RNA". It matches the Rfam family "Bacterial small subunit ribosomal RNA", at positions 355 to 776 of the family's 1533-position model. The record is from RNAcentral.